GGACUACCCGGGUAUCUAAUCCUGUUUGCUCCCCACGCUUUCGCGUCUCAGCGUCAAGAUCGGUCCAGAAGGCCGCCUUCGCCACAGGUAUUCCUCCAAAUAUCUACGAAUUUCACCUCUACACUUGGAAUUCCACCUUCCUCUACCGUCUUCUAGCCAGUUAGUUUUGGAUGCACUUCCUCGGUUGAGCCCAGGGAUUUCACACCCAACUUAACAAACCGCCUACACGCGCUUUACGCCCAAUGAUUCCGAACAACGCUAGCACCCUACGUAUUACCGCGGCGGCUGGCAC
This 292-nucleotide ribosomal RNA is filed under the name uncultured bacterium. RNAcentral's name for it is "partial 16S ribosomal RNA". The record is from RNAcentral.